GGGGGGUGCGAGCGUUGUCCGGAAUCAUUGGGCGUAAAGGGCGCGUAGGUGGCGGGACAAGCGUGCGGUGAAAGCCUGGGGCUCAACCCCGGGUCGGCCGUGCGAACUGUUUUGCUUGAGCACUGUAGAGGCAGGCGGAAUUCCGGGUGUAGCGGUGGAAUGCGUAGAGAUCCGGAAGAACACCGGUGGCGAAGGCGGCCUGCUGGGCAGUAGCUGACACUGAGGCGCGACAGCGUGGGGAGCAAACAGGAUUAGAUACCCUGGUAGUCCACGCCGUAAACGAUGGGCACUAGGCGCUUGGGGGAGCGACCCCCCGAGGGCCGGCGCUAACGCAUUAAGUGCCCCGCCUGGGGAGUACGGCCGCAAGGCUG
Molecule: ribosomal RNA, 371 nt
Filed under: uncultured bacterium
Lineage: Bacteria
Description: bacterial SSU rRNA
Rfam family: Bacterial small subunit ribosomal RNA
Source: RNAcentral